This 468-nucleotide ribosomal RNA is filed under the name uncultured bacterium. Its description in RNAcentral is "partial 16S ribosomal RNA". It matches the Rfam family "Bacterial small subunit ribosomal RNA", at positions 28 to 507 of the family's 1533-position model. The record is from RNAcentral.
GACGAACGCUGGCGGCGUGCUUAACACAUGCCAGUCGAACGGAAAGGCCCUGCUUUUGUGGGGUGCUCGAGUGGCGAACGGGUGAGUAACACGUGAGUAACCUGCCCUUGACUUUGGGAUAACUUCAGGAAACUGGGGCUAAUACCGGAUAGGAGCUCCUGCUGCAUGGUGGGGGUUGGAAAGUUUCGGCGGUUGGGGAUGGACUCGCGGCUUAUCAGCUUGUUGGUGGGGUAGUGGCUUACCAAGGCUUUGACGGGUAGCCGGCCUGAGAGGGUGACCGGCCACAUUGGGACUGAGAUACGGCCCAGACUCCUACGGGAGGCAGCAGUGGGGAAUAUUGCACAAUGGGCGGAAGCCUGAUGCAGCAACGCCGCGUGCGGGACGACGGCCUUCGGGUUGUAAACCGCUUUCGCCUGUGACGAGGCGUGAGUGACGGUAAUGGGUAAAGAAGCACCGGCUAACUACGUG